This is a non-coding RNA of Podarcis lilfordi (Lilford's wall lizard), 73 nucleotides long. NCBI's taxonomy places the organism in Eukaryota, Metazoa, Chordata, Lepidosauria, Squamata, Lacertidae. The record is from the annotation of a GenBank genome assembly.
GAAAGCUGAAGCUCAGUGGCAGAGUGCAUGCUUUGCCUGCAGAAGGUCCCUGGUUCAAUCCCGGGCACCUUCC